UGGCUUAUGUGUUAUAUGUUUUACCUGCUUUCGUUAGGAUUUUUGCAUCUAGAUAUUAUGCUUACGUGUUACGUGCUACGUGCUCUUAUGUGUUUAUUUGUUUUAAUUUAUGUUUUAUUUGUUUUACUAUGUACUAUUAAUGCAUGGCGUCACCACACUAGUCCAACGCUAGUUGUGGCUUCUCCCUCCGCUUACUUGCUAGCCCAACGCUAGUAAGGAAUUUUAGAAAUGGGCUAGUCCAACGCUAGAUCCUUUAGGUCGUCUUGCGCUAGAUUCAUUUUUGUGUGCUAUUCACUACAUUUUCAUGCAUAUUUUCAUUUUUAGGAUCUUUUCUCAUUUUUAUGAUAUUCCCUAUUAUAUUAUUCCCUACCCGCUAUAGGUGCUAAUCAUGUCAUUUAGAAUUGCAUCUCAUUUAAGCUAGUUCAUUUGCUUGUUCAUGUUAGGAUAAUUAUUUUUCAAACAUGGGAAAUGGGUGAUUAUAACUUUUUAGUUUAAAUACCCCAUUAAUCCUUGUAUAAGAAAAUUAUGUCACAAGUUUUUGCCUCCCGUAC
This 551-nucleotide long non-coding RNA is filed under the name Coffea arabica (coffee). Its description in RNAcentral is "long non-coding RNA (CARA_LNC008421)". The record is from RNAcentral. Lineage: Eukaryota; Viridiplantae; Streptophyta; Magnoliopsida; Gentianales; Rubiaceae.